UAGGGAAUCUUCCACAAUGGGCGAAAGCCUGAUGGAGCAACGCCGCGUGUGUGAUGAAGGGUUUCGGCUCGUAAAACUCUGUUGUUAAAGAAGAACAUAUCUGAGAGUAACUGUUCAGGUAUUGACGGUAUUUAACCAGAAAGCCACGGCUAACUACGUGCCAG
RNAcentral lists this ribosomal RNA (164 nucleotides) under uncultured bacterium. RNAcentral's name for it is "partial 16S ribosomal RNA". It matches the Rfam family "Bacterial small subunit ribosomal RNA", at positions 355 to 511 of the family's 1533-position model. The record is from RNAcentral.